Molecule: ribosomal RNA, 824 nt
Filed under: Microbacterium sp. TCA1-16_Pa
Lineage: Bacteria; Bacillati; Actinomycetota; Actinomycetes; Micrococcales; Microbacteriaceae
Description: bacterial SSU rRNA
Rfam family: Bacterial small subunit ribosomal RNA
Source: RNAcentral
GCAGUCGAACGGUGAAGCCCCGCUUGCGGGGUGGAUCAGUGGCGAACGGGUGAGUAACACGUGAGCAACCUGCCCCUGACUCUGGGAUAAGCGCUGGAAACGGCGUCUAAUACUGGAUACGAGACGUGAUCGCAUGGUCAACGUUUGGAAAGAUUUUUCGGUUGGGGAUGGGCUCGCGGCCUAUCAGCUUGUUGGUGAGGUAAUGGCUCACCAAGGCGUCGACGGGUAGCCGGCCUGAGAGGGUGACCGGCCACACUGGGACUGAGACACGGCCCAGACUCCUACGGGAGGCAGCAGUGGGGAAUAUUGCACAAUGGGCGCAAGCCUGAUGCAGCAACGCCGCGUGAGGGAUGACGGCCUUCGGGUUGUAAACCUCUUUUAGCAGGGAAGAAGCGAGAGUGACGGUACCUGCAGAAAAAGCACCGGCUAACUACGUGCCAGCAGCCGCGGUAAUACGUAGGGUGCAAGCGUUAUCCGGAAUUAUUGGGCGUAAAGAGCUCGUAGGCGGUUUGUCGCGUCUGCUGUGAAAUCUGGGGGCUCAACCCCCAGCCUGCAGUGGGUACGGGCAGACUAGAGUGCGGUAGGGGAGAUUGGAAUUCCUGGUGUAGCGGUGGAAUGCGCAGAUAUCAGGAGGAACACCGAUGGCGAAGGCAGAUCUCUGGGCCGUAACUGACGCUGAGGAGCGAAAGGGUGGGGAGCAAACAGGCUUAGAUACCCUGGUAGUCCACCCCGUAAACGUUGGGAACUAGUUGUGGGGUCCAUUCCACGGAUUCCGUGACGCAGCUAACGCAUUAAGUUCCCCGCCUGGGGAGUACGGCCGCAAG